This is a non-coding RNA of Coturnix japonica (Japanese quail), 415 nucleotides long. The record is from RefSeq and is a predicted model, not a curated record. Lineage: Eukaryota; Metazoa; Chordata; Aves; Galliformes; Phasianidae.
GAUUGUGAACAUACAACCCUCACUGCUUAUCUUUGGGCACUGGCAGAGCAUGGCCCGGUCGGUCUUGUGUCUGGACUCCUAUUGAGUGUAUGUGCAAUAAUUGGAUGUGGAGAGAGCAAUUGGUUUGGCUGCUGGGCUGUGCUUCGGGUCUAUCAGAAGUAGAUCUUGUGCCCAUCCCUCCAGGCAUUACCUGCACUUCCCUGGCUUACCUGGGAUCCCUCAGGGCACGUAUGCAGCAGCAGAGGAACCGUUAAUCUGCCAGAAGUAUGCUGACAUAGCAUCAGGCAAUACCUACCAAAAGAUCAGGAAAGUCAAGAAAAUGGCCUUCAACCUGUGUGCCUAAUUCAGUGUGAAUCCUGUGCUGACGUGACUGAAGAUGGAAAGAAAUAAAGUUCCAGCUGUUACUUCACACAAA